CCUACGGGAGGCAGCAGUGAGGAAUAUUGGUCAAUGGGAGUAAGCCUGAACCAGCCAAGUCGCGUGAGGGAUGAAGGCUCUAUGGAUUGUAAACCUCUUUUAUAGGGGAAUAAAGUGCGGGACGUGUCCCGUUCUGCAUGUACCUGAUGAAUAAGGAUCGGCUAACUCCGUGCCAGCAGCCGCGGUAAUACGGAGGAUCCGAGCGUUAUCCGGAUUUAUUGGGUUUAAAGGGUGCGUAGGCGGACUUUUAAGUCAGCGGUGAAAGUCUGGGGCUCAACCCUCGAAUUGCCGUUGAAACUGGAUGGCUUGAGUAUGUGAGAGGCAGGCGGAAUGCGUGGUGUAGCGGUGAAAUGCUUAGAUAUCACGCAGAACCCCGAUUGCGAAGGCAGCCUACCGGGCCAUGACUGACGCUGAUGCACGAAAGCGUGGGGAUCAAACAGGAUUAGAUACCCCUGUAGUC
This 460-nucleotide ribosomal RNA is filed under the name uncultured bacterium. Its description in RNAcentral is "partial 16S ribosomal RNA". It matches the Rfam family "Bacterial small subunit ribosomal RNA", at positions 338 to 795 of the family's 1533-position model. The record is from RNAcentral.